This 4606-nucleotide long non-coding RNA is filed under the name Nicotiana tabacum (common tobacco). RNAcentral describes it as "long non-coding RNA (NTAB_LNC000540)". Lineage: Eukaryota; Viridiplantae; Streptophyta; Magnoliopsida; Solanales; Solanaceae. The record is from RNAcentral.
AAUUUGCCUAUUGCAGACUCAAAGGACAAGACUGACAUUGCAAUUCCAUGCGAUACCAGCAAUGAUAUUGCUGACUAUGCAACAGUUGAGGAAAAACCUGAAGAACCAGUAGUUGAAGAAAAACAUGAAGAACCUGCAAUUGAAAAGAAAUUUGAAGAACCAGCAGUUAUGGAGAAACCUGAAGAACCAGCGGCAAAGGUAAAACCUGAAGAACCAGCAGGGAAAGAAAAACCUGAAGAGCCAACGGCUGGGGAAAAACCUGAAGAACCAGCAGCAAAUGAGGAACCUGAAAAAUCAGCGAUGAAAGAGAAACCUGAAGAACCAAUUGUUGAGGAGAAACUUGAAGAACCAACUGUUGAAGAGAAACCUGAAAAACCACUGAUUGAAGAAACACCUGAAGAACCAACAUGGGAAGAAACACCUAAAGAACUAGCAUUUGAAGAGAAACCAGAAGAACCAGCAGUUGAAGAGGAGAAACCUGAAAAGGUAACUCUUAUGGAAGAGGUGAGUAUCAAGCAUUAUCACAUAGUUUAUCCAUCUAUGUGCAACAAUUCACAUAUGCUUAUCUAUUGAAAGACUAAAUGAAACUUUAAAUUCUUCUUGCAGAAUAUGCCAGCUGUAGAUUUCAACGACAAGACUGACCGUGAAAUUCAAUGCAAUAACAAUGAUGUUGCUGAAUAUGUAGCAGUUGAGGAAAACCUUGAACCAGCAGUUGAAGAAAAACAUGAAGAACCAACAGUUGAGGAGAAACCUGAAGAACUAGCAGUUGAAGAGAAACCCGAAAAACCAACAAUUGAGGAGAAACCUGAAGAACUAGCAGUUGAAGAGAAACCCGAAAAACCAACAAUUGAGGAGAAACAUGAAGAACCAAUAGUUGAGAAGAAACCUGAAGAAUCAAUAAUUGAAAAGGAGAAAUCUGAAAGGGUAACUUUCCUAGAAAAGGUGAGGAUCAAGCAUUGUCAAAAGGUUUAUCCAUCUUAUUACUAUUAGUUGUGUAUGUGCAACAAUUCACAUCUGCUUACCUAUUGAAAGACCAAGUGAAACUUCAAAAUUCUUCUUGCAGAGUAUGCUAGUUGUAGACUCGAACGACAAGACUGACAGUGAACUUCCAUGCAAUACCAACAACGAUGCUGCCCACUUUCCAGAAGUUGAGGGAAACCCCGAAGAACCAGCAAUUGAAGGAAAAUCUAAAGAACUUGUUGAUGAAGAGACACCUGAUGUACCAGUGGUUGAGAAACCUGAAAAACAAAUGGUUGAGGAGAAACUUGAAGAACCAAUGAUUGAGGAGAAAUCUGACGAACUAGUCGAGGAGAAAUCUCAACAACCAGCGGCUGAAAAGAAACCUGAAGAACCAGCAGCUAAAGAAUCACCUAAAGAGGUAGCAGGGGAGGAAACAUCUGAAGAACUAGCACUUGAAGAGAAACUUAAAGAACCAACAGUUGAAGAGAUACCUAAAGAACUAGUUCUUGAAGAUAAACCUGGAAACCCAGAAAAUGAAGAGGAUAAACUUGAAACAGUAACUCUCCAGGAAAAGGUAAGAAACAAGCAGUGUCACAGAGUUUAUCCAUCCUAUUAGCUCUAUAUAUGCAACGAAUUCACAUCUGUUUAUCCACUGAAAGACCAAGUGAAACUUUAAAUUUUCUUGCAGAAUUUACCAAUUGCAGACUCAAAGGACAAGACUGACAAUGCAACUCCCUACAACAACAAUGAUAUUGCUGACUAUGUAGCAGUUAAGGAAAAAACUGAAGAACCAGUAGUUGAGGAAAAACAUGAAGAACCGGCAAUUGAAGAGAAAUCUGAAGAAUCAGCAUUAAUGAAAAAAACUGAAGAACCAGCGGUUGAGGUAAAACCUGAAGAACCGUCAGUGGAAAAGAAGCCUGAAGAACCAGCGGUUAGGAAAAAACCUGAAGAACCAGCAGUUAAUGAGGAACCUGAAAAAUCAGCAACGGAAGAGAAACCUGAAGAACCAAUUGUUGAGGAGAAACUUGAAGAACCAACUCUUGAAGAGAAACCUGGAAAAUCAGUAAUUGAAGAAACACCUGAAGAACCAACACUGGAAGUAACACCUAAAGAACAAGCGUUUAAAGAGAAACCAGAAGAACCAGCAGUUGAAGAGGAAAAAUCUGACAAGGUAACUCUUUUGGAAAAGGUGAGCAUCAAACAUUGUCACAAAUUUUAGCCAUCCUACUAGUUCUGUAUGUGCAAUAAUUCGUAUCAACUUAUCUAUUGAAAGACUAAGUGAAACUUUAAUUCUUCUUGCAGAAUAUACCAGUUGUAGAUUUCAAUGAUAAGACUGACAGUGUAAUUCCAUGCAAUACCAACGACGAUGUUGCUGAAUACGUAGCAGUUGAGGAAAACCUUGAAGAACCAACAGUUGAGGAGAAACCUGAAGAAUUAGCGGUUGAAGAGAAACCUGAAAAACCAGCAAUUGAGGAGAAAAGUGAAGAACCAAUAAUUGAGAAGAAACCUAAAGAACCAGCAGUUGAGGAGAAACCUGAAGAACAAACCGUUGAAGAGAAACUUGAAGAACCAACAAUUGAAGAUGAGAAACUUGAAAGGGUAACUCUCCUAGAAAAGGUGAGGAUCUAGCAUUGUCACAAAGUUUGUCCAUCCUAAUAGUUUUAUAUGUGCAAGCUUUUCAGAUCUGCUUAUCUAUUGAAAGACUAAGUGAAACUUUAAAUUCUUCUUACAGAAUAUGCCAGUUGUAGACUCGAACGACAAGACUGACUGUGAAAUUCCAUGCAACACCAACAAUGAUGUUGCUUACUAUCCAGCAGUUGAGGAAAAUCUUGAAAAAACAACAAUUGAGGAAACAACUGAUGAACCAGUGGUUGAAGAGAAACCUGAUGCACAAGCGAUUAAGGAGAAACCUGAAGUACCAACGAUUGAGCAGAAACUUGAAGAGUUAGCAGGAGAGGAAACCCAUGAAGAACUAGCAGUUGAAGAGAAGCUAGAAGAACCAAUUACUGAAGAGACACCUGCAGAACUAGUUAUUGAAGAGAAACAUGAAAACCCAACAAUUGAAGAGGAGAAACCUGAAACAGAAGCUCUCCUAAAGAAGGUUAGGAUUAAACACUGUUUCAAAAUUUAUCCAUCCUAUUAGCUUUAUAUGUGCAAGGAACUCACAUAUGUUAAUCUACUGAAAGACUAAGUCAAACUUUCAAGUUUUCUUGCAGAAUAUGCCAAUUGUAGACUCAAAGGACAAGAUUGACGUUGAAAGUCCAGGCAAUAACAACAAUGAUGGUGCUGACUAUCCAGCAGUUGAAGAUAAACCUGAAGAACUAACAGUUGAAGAAAAACAUGAAGAACAAGCAAUUGAAGAGAAACCUGAAGAACCAGUGGCCACAGAGAAACCUGAAGAACCAGCGAUUAAGGAAAAAGCUGAUGAACCAGCAGUGCAAGAGAAACCUGAAGAACCAGCUGUGGAAAAGAAACCUGAAGAACCAGCAGUCGAGGAGAAACUUGACGAACCACCAGUUGAAGAGAAAUCAGAAGAACCAGUAGUUGAACAAACACCUGCAGGACCAGCAUGGGAAGAAACAUCUAAAGAACUAGCAUUUGAAGAGAAACCUGAAGAACCAGCAGUUGAAAAAACACCUGAAGAACUAGCAGUUGGAAAGAACCCUGAAAAAACAGCAGUCGGAGAGAAACAUGAAAAAGUAACUCUCUUGGAAAAGGUGAGGAUCAAGCACAAUCACAAAUUUUAUCCAUCCUAUUAGUUAUGUAUGCGCAACAAUUCACAUUUGCCUGUUGGAAGAUUAAGUUAAACUUUAAAUUCUUCUUGCAGAAUAUACCAAUUAUAGAGUUAAACGAGAAGAAUAACAGUGCAACUCCAUGCAAUACCAACAAUGAUGUUGCUGACUAUCCAGCAGUUGAGGAAAAACCUGAAGAACCAGCGAUUGAGAAAAAACCUGAAGAACCAAUGGCUAAGGAGAAACUUGAAGAACCAAUUGUUGAGGAUAAACCUGAAAAAUCAGUGAUAGAGGAGAAAUCUGAAAAACUAGCAACUGAAGAAACACUUGGAGAGCAAGCAGGGGAGGAAACACCUGAAGCACUAGCAGUUGAAGAGAAACCUGACAAAUCAACAGUUGAAGAGACAGUUGAAGAACUAGCUAUUGAACAGAAACCUAAAAAAACAGCAGUUGAAAAAGAGAAACCUGAAGCCGUAACUCUCCUGGAAAAGGUGAUCAAGCACUGUCACAGAGAUUCCUUGCUCUAUACGUGCAAGGAAUUUACAUCUACUUAUCUACUGAAAGAUUUAGUGAAACUUUAAAUUCUUCUUGCAGAAUAUGCCAGUUGUAGAUUCAAAGGACAAGAUUAACAGUGAAAUUCCAUGCAAUGCCAACAAUGAUGUUUUUGACUAUCCAGCAGUUGAGGCAAAACCUGAAGAACUAGCAAUUGAAAAAAAAUAUGAAGAACCAGUAGUUAUAUUGGAGAAACCUGCAGAACUAGCAGUUGAGGAGACACCUGAAAAAUCAGUAGUUGAAGAGAAGCCUGAAAAACCAGCAGCACGGGAAGAAGCACUUGAAGAACCAGCAUGGGAAGAAACACCUGAAGAACCAACAGUUGAAGAGAAACUUGAUAAACCAGCAACUGAAAAAGAGAA